Molecule: small RNA, 148 nt
Filed under: Pongo abelii (Sumatran orangutan)
Lineage: Eukaryota; Metazoa; Chordata; Mammalia; Primates; Hominidae
Description: Metazoan signal recognition particle RNA (ENSPPYG00000030467.1)
Source: Rfam by way of RNAcentral
GCUGGGUGUGGUGUCGGGUGCCUGUAAUCCCAGCUACUAGGGAGGCUGAGGCAGAAGAAUUGCUUGAACCUGGGUGGCGGAGGUUGCAGUGAGCUGAGAUCGUGCCACUGCAUUCCAGCCUGGGUAACAGAGCAAGACUCUGUCUCAA